GGGGAUGUAAAGGUUUCGACGGGGUCUCUGAAGCUGGAGAAGCGAGCCGCACGGGAUGCGUCAAAUUCCACCCUAAAUUUAAACGCUAAAGAAGAUAAUUUCGAAUUAGCAAUGGCUGCCUAAUCGCAGCUGCUUGUCUGCCGGCCUGCACCCAUACGGGCUGACCAGGCAUCAAACCAUGUGGGAAACGACUUAUACAAAGCUUUGCGUAUAAGGGCGUAACAUGAAGCUACUGAAGUCAGUAACCUGUCACCGGGUGCCUGAUGGAGGGAAUGUCAGAACAGUGACUACGCUCGUAGAAGAACAGCGGAUCAGAUUUCGGACACGGGUUCGACUCCCGUCAUCUCCAUGG
Molecule: non-coding RNA, 352 nt
Organism: Clostridium sp. SY8519
Lineage: Bacteria; Bacillati; Bacillota; Clostridia; Eubacteriales; Clostridiaceae
Rfam family: transfer-messenger RNA
About the family: Bacterial tmRNA, also known as 10Sa RNA or SsrA, is named for its dual tRNA and mRNA-like properties. Its role is to liberate the mRNA from a stalled ribosome.
Source: Rfam